This 460-nucleotide ribosomal RNA is filed under the name uncultured Bacteroidota bacterium. Its description in RNAcentral is "bacterial SSU rRNA". It matches the Rfam family "Bacterial small subunit ribosomal RNA", at positions 338 to 795 of the family's 1533-position model. Lineage: Bacteria; Pseudomonadati; Bacteroidota. The record is from RNAcentral.
CCUACGGGGGGCUGCAGUGAGGAAUAUUGGACAAUGGAUGGAAAUCUGAUCCAGUCAUGCCGCGUGCAGGAAGACUGCCUUAUGGGUUGUAAACUGCUUUUAUACGGGAGCAAUAAGGGUUACGUGUAGCCUGAUGAGAGUACUGUAUGAAUAAGGAUCGGCUAACUCCGUGCCAGCAGCCGCGGUAAUACGGAGGAUCCGAGCGUUAUCCGGAAUUAUUGGGUUUAAAGGGUGCGUAGGCGGCUAUUUAAGUCAGCGGUGAAAUUUUGCAGCUUAACUGUAACAGUGCCGUUGAAACUGUUUAGCUAGGAUUUGGUUGCAGUGUGCGGAAUGUGUGGUGUAGCGGUGAAAUGCUUAGAUAUCACACAGAACACCAAUUGCGAAGGCAGCACACUAAGUCAAUAUUGACGCUGAGGCACGAAAGUGUGGGGAUCAAACAGGAUUAGAUACCCCGGUAGUC